RNAcentral lists this ribosomal RNA (253 nucleotides) under uncultured bacterium. RNAcentral describes it as "partial 16S ribosomal RNA". It matches the Rfam family "Bacterial small subunit ribosomal RNA", at positions 524 to 776 of the family's 1533-position model. The record is from RNAcentral.
AACGUAGGGUGCGAGCGUUGUCCGGAAUUAUUGGGCGUAAAGAGCUUGUAGGCGGUUUGUCGCGUCUGCUGUGAAAAUCCGGGGCUCAACCCCGGACUUGCAGUGGGUACGGGCAGACUAGAGUGUGGUAGGGGAGACUGGAAUUCCUGGUGUAGCGGUGAAAUGCGCAGAUAUCAGGAGGAACACCGAUGGCGAAGGCAGGUCUCUGGGCCACUACUGACGCUGAGAAGCGAAAGCAUGGGGAGCGAACAGG